Long non-coding RNA from Lycium ferocissimum, 682 nucleotides. RefSeq lists it as uncharacterized. Lineage: Eukaryota; Viridiplantae; Streptophyta; Magnoliopsida; Solanales; Solanaceae. The record is from RefSeq and is a predicted model, not a curated record. The transcript is spliced from 2 exons.
UUGUGGGUACACGUAUCCCUUCUUGCUUUCAUUUUGCCAUUUUGUUCCGUCGCUGUCCCUCCGUUUCCACUUCGCUUAUUCACAAAAAAAUUGGUUCAAUUUCUGUCAGAAAGAAGCACAGCUUUCUUCCUUGUGCUUCAUCGGAUUCUUCUCCCGCUUGUUAAAGAAGAAAAACUUACAUUGGCUUCAAUUUUCUUGCUUACCAAACCAGCAAGAGGUGUCAUUAUGUCUUGGAACGUGCCUAAUUCCGCAUCCCAACAAGGUAAGUAGUAAUGCAUAUUGUCCUCUGACUUGUUCUCUUUCUCGAUUGUUUUCAUUGAACUUUAUAGUAUCCUGGCAGUGUUUUGUGUUUUCCGAUGUAGUGGUGCUUGUUGUGCAAAUAGCACCCCAAUGGAAAAUUGGGUAGGGCACGACCCUCCAAUUCUCAAUCUCCACCUCCACUGACAGCACAAUCGUGGUCAAGUGGUAGUAGAAUUGCAUCUGCCCCUCCUUUGCCAUCCGAUUAUUUUCAGGGACCACCAUCUCCACCAUCAUCAUCCCCGCAAAUGCUUAACACCUAUUACAGUGCCUUAAGUGUCGAGAAUACAAAUGGCUGCAUAAUCCAAUGAUUGCUGUCAUAUGUGUGCGUGUGUGUGUGUUUGCUUCAUGUCAAUGUGUAAUUAAGGUACAAUUGUUACAAAAA